This is a small nucleolar RNA of Lupinus angustifolius (narrow-leaved blue lupine), 108 nucleotides long. It matches the Rfam family "Plant small nucleolar RNA R71". From Rfam's summary of the family: R71 is a member of the C/D box family of snoRNAs containing the C (UGAUGA) and D (CUGA) box motifs. Multiple nearly identical copies of this snoRNA have been identified in Arabidopsis, and it is thought to function as a 2'-O-ribose methylation guide for 18S ribosomal RNA. Lineage: Eukaryota; Viridiplantae; Streptophyta; Magnoliopsida; Fabales; Fabaceae. The record is from Rfam.
GAACCAUGGUUGGGGCAUUUUCUCAACAACAUCUGAAAACGCUCUCAUACUUCAUAAAAUGCUUCAUCUGCACCUUGUUUGAAAGUUGAUAUCUCGAACUUUGCAUGC